AACGAACGCUGGCGGCAGGCUUAACACAUGCAAGUCGAGCGCCCCGCAAGGGGAGCGGCAGACGGGUGAGUAACGCGUGGGAACGUACCCUUCAGUUCGGAAUAACUCAGGGAAACUUGGGCUAAUACCGGAUACGUCCGAGAGGAGAAAGAUUUAUCGCUGAAGGAUCGGCCCGCGUUGGAUUAGCUAGUUGGUGGGGUAAUGGCCUACCAAGGCGACGAUCCAUAGCUGGUCUGAGAGGAUGAUCAGCCACACUGGGACUGAGACACGGCCCAGACUCCUACGGGAGGCAGCAGUGGGGAAUAUUGGACAAUGGGCGAAAGCCUGAUCCAGCCAUGCCGCGUGAGUGAUGAAGGCCCUAGGGUUGUAAAGCUCUUUCAGUGGGGAAGAUAAUGACGGUACCCACAGAAGAAGCCCCGGCUAACUUCGUG
RNAcentral lists this ribosomal RNA (431 nucleotides) under uncultured bacterium. RNAcentral describes it as "bacterial SSU rRNA". It matches the Rfam family "Bacterial small subunit ribosomal RNA", at positions 29 to 507 of the family's 1533-position model. The record is from RNAcentral.